UCUAAUGUGGCAGAAAAAUGCAAAGGAUUUAAACUCCUUUUAUAAACUUAUUAUUUCUUUAGAA
This 64-nucleotide transfer RNA is filed under the name Campodea fragilis. Its description in RNAcentral is "tRNA-Leu". The record is from RNAcentral. Lineage: Eukaryota; Metazoa; Arthropoda; Diplura; Rhabdura; Campodeidae.